Molecule: long non-coding RNA, 2522 nt
Filed under: Homo sapiens (human)
Lineage: Eukaryota; Metazoa; Chordata; Mammalia; Primates; Hominidae
Description: HSALNT0120320
Source: RNAcentral
AAAACAACAGCUUGGCUGAGCCGCGGAUGCCAUGAACAGUUCAGGGCCUCGGCGUCAUUUUAUCUCCUCCUUAUUCCUUUCCUUUCUAGCAUAAGAGCCCUGAAAGAGGCGUUUUGAGCCAAGAGAACCGCUUGUAGGCGAUCAUUUUAAGCGUAACCAAGCUCGCCUUUCACCCAGUCUCCCAAGGCGUUGAAAGAGACCAGCUCCAGUCUUGGGGCGCUGACCUACUUGCCUAGAGGGCCAAGGAUCUCCUACUCGGUGGAACGGCCCCCAGAAUUUCUUGGGGGAGGGGUGUGGGGAAAGAACUGAGCUACAGAAGCCUAAGGGCUAGAGGCCAGGGGAGGCUGCCUUUGUGUGCUGUUCCCGGGGAGCGGCGCUCUGGGCUGCCAGGCGAGGCAUAGCCAGCCCGGCUGCGAGCACCCGGCCUGCGGGGAGCCGGGAACAGUAAGCGGAGAAGGGCGGCCGCCGGGCCUGUGUGUCUGCGGGCCUGUGUGCGAGUGCAAGCUCGUGAUCCCAAGAAAAACACUCCACCCAGGAUGCCCCAGAAAAGAGGCCAGGAGAGAAGAAGAGAGGCUGAGGGAGAGCAGGGCCGAGGCAGCGAACUAGCAGAGAGAGUGGCUCCUGCCGGGGUCGGCUUUGUGGCAGGCGCCCUGCAGCCGAGGGGGUCCUGCAAACCCAGGCUGAGGAGGGCAACCAAGGAGCUCCUUCUCUCCCCGCCGCUGGAAGCUGGUGCUCCCAAGGAAGCCGCCUCCAGGAGGACUGCCUUGCCUUUCCCCUUCUCCAGUCGGAGGAUUCCCAGGAGCCGAAACUGGGGCAGGGGUGGCUGCCCAACCCCAGAAAGUGGGCCUUUCCUGCCCGUGCUCCCUCUUAACCAUGCUUGGGAUGGAUCAAAGUCACAAAUACUAUUCUGAAAGGAAAUGUUUGGGGAGAAUGUUUCAUUGUUACUGAGGGAGUCCAGAGUCAGCAUGGGUUUUUUCUCUUGAGAGGACAGGUUUGGGGGAACUUCGGUACGUGGAGAACAGAAUACAGAAGACUGAAAGGGUGACUAACAUAUUUGAAAUGUACCUUCCUUGAAAAAAAAAAAACCUUCCUUGUUCUAACGGGAGGAAAGGCUGAAGAGGAGUGGAAACCCCAAACCCACAUACAUUCAUUCACUAUAAAUUUCAUCUGAUUCCAACAUUGUACACAUGGUUGGAGUAAAAUUUAUACAGCAUUGCUUAUAAUUUAUACAGCAAAGCUUCCUGGACAAGCUCUCGAUUUCUCCUACCCAAGACUGCAUCAAUUCUUGGUCUCCGUUUGGCUUUUUCUCUCUACAAGCCCAGGGUUGACGUGAAACCUAAUAGUAAACAACAAUUUAACGACCUCAGCAGCCUCAGGGAAGUAGGGUGAUGAGGAACAGGACCCCUGGCCUGGGAUGAGGCUCAGAUUUGCAUGUGUCUCUCUAGGGAAGGACUUGAAGGUUCUCAUAAGCAACUACACAGCCAGUUGGAAAGGGGAGGAGGUGUCGUUGGGGUAAAGUGUCCCGUCCACCAUCAGCCAUUUGUCCACCGCCCCUCCCACCUGCCAGCCCCCACACCCACUCUAGACGUGCAGCAGAAUGAGGAAGGUUAUAAAAGGAAGCUCUCUCUCUCUUCUAACAUUCCCCUCCAGAAAAAGAGGAACGCAACGAAGGGAGUUCAGCUACUAUGUUGGAGCUGUGGACCGGCCCUGUGAGGCCCACGCGGGAGCGCGGAGGCUCCUGGGUCUCAGGGCGCCGGCAGAUGGCCUGCAGCGCACCGCCCGGCCCCCGCGCUGGCCACGUCCGCCAGCGUCAUCUCUCUCCCCCGCCUCCUACCCCUAAAAAUCCGGCGGUCGAGUAGCUCCGCAUCCCGGAGGGCUCCCGGUGCAAAACUGAGUGGGAAAGAGAAAGGGGCGGAGAGCGACGAGAGAGGGAAGGUGGGGAAGAAGAGCCCGGCCGCCCCCGGCCUUUUCCGGCGAGCUCUGAGUUUCCAGGGCUCAUCCGCCCCUCCAAGUCGAAUUACAGAAACUCCUCAUUGCCAUGCUAAUGACGAGAGGGGCUGUGGGGAGAGGGUUUCGAAGACCCUCCUGGAAGAAGGGAAGUUUCUUUUCUUGCCCUCGUCUCCUUCACGCCCACCCGAGUUCCUCCCAGCCAGCCCUCUGCGCUCUUCCCCCUCCAUUCCGAGCUUGAAGAGCCGGUGGCCCAGCCUCGCCCUCCACCACGGUUCUAUGCGCUCCUCACAGCCCCACGGUCUCCCAGCCCAGCCUCAGAACAGAGGAGGUGGCCUGGGAACCCGGGGCGCGGUGUCAGCCGGAUUCCCCGCCUUCCGGCUGGGCGCGCUGCGGGCUGGGCCGGCGUACUUGCGGCCACCCGGCGAGCUCUGGCCCACUGAUUCCCGCCCCGAGAGAGCCGGGAGCCCUCUUCCCUUCUCACCUCUCGCCAGUUCAUCUUUCAUUGAACGGUGGGGAGGGGGCGGGAGCGGGGGACGCCUCCCAGCCCCCACCUCCCGGAGGCCUGGCGGGGC